UGAGGAAUUUUGCGCAAUGGGAGCAAUCCUGACGCAGCAACGCCGCGUGGGUGAUGAAGGCCUUCGGGUCGUAAAGCCCUGUCAGGUGGGAAGAAUGUCCCGGGACUGAACAGGUUAUGGGAGUGCCGGUACCACACGAGGAAGCACCGGCUAACUCCGUGCCAGCAGCCGCGGCAAAACGGCGGGUGCAAGCGUUAUUCGGAAUUACUGGGCGUAAAGGGCGUGUAGGCGGAUCAUCAAGUCUGUUGUGAAAGCCCAGGGCUUAACCCGUGAAGUGCAUUGGAAACUGUGAGACUUGAGUACUGGAGAGGAUGGGGGAAUUGGCGGUGUAGAGGUAAAAUUCGUAGAGAUCGGCAAGAGUAUCAGUGGCGAAGGCGCUCAUCUGGACGGUAACUGACGCUGAGGCGCGAAAGCGUGGGGAGCAAACA
This 428-nucleotide ribosomal RNA is filed under the name uncultured prokaryote. RNAcentral's name for it is "bacterial SSU rRNA". It matches the Rfam family "Bacterial small subunit ribosomal RNA", at positions 355 to 774 of the family's 1533-position model. The record is from RNAcentral.